CAACAACAACAACAACAACACCGUAUAUGAGCCGUGAACCGAAUGGAAGAGGAGCAAACUAAUAAAGAGAGGGCCAGGAUGCACAAUGGGCAAGAUGAUGAUUGGAAAUGGGUACGAGGUGUUCUGACCUGGUUGUAGGUCCCGUGGACUUCACAGCUGACAACCAGCUGCAGGUAUUGAAGAGCGCCCCCCUCAACCCCAUGGCCAUCUGUGAGUACUGCACCCAUAGUAGAGAAUAGUGACAUUAAAUGAUACAAAACAACAGAGCUUAAAGUUCAGAUGAUUACACGACUCAUAAAAGCAGUAAUGUGUUACUAUUGUACAUACUACAUGUGUAAACAUGAGACAUAGCCAGAGCUUCCAGUUUAAAUUAUUCUUUAGUUUACUCAGUAAAAAGCUGCUUUUCAGCCUGGUGGUAAGAUGACUAUGUUAUAGUUCUAAAGCUUUUGUUGUUGUUGUUGUUGUUGUUGUUGUUGUUGUGCCUUCCCGUUCCACCGUAGAGUUUAUAAUUAUGCUGCUUUGUACAUGGUUUGUAUUGUUAUUACAACAUAUCACAGAAUACAAUCCAAAAAGUUGGUGAGUUCCAAAAAAAAGAAACUUAAUUGGUGAAUUAGAUUUUUUUUUAAGUACAAGACAAAGAAGAUAUAGGUUUUUAGUUGCCGUCCUUAUUUUGCUGUUAUUUUGGGAAACAAGGCCAUUCCAUAUAAAAUAGACACAGUGAAGAUGAAGGUCCAUCCAACUAUGAUGAAGCCACAAUUAAGACUUUCCCAAACUGCUUCCUGCUCCUGGAAUCAACGAAGCUUCCCCUGAACAUGAAGCAAUGUCCCUUCUGCACCAGAAGAUGUCACCAUUAAAUAACAUAAUUCAACUUUGAAUCUGCAGCCACCAGAUGGUCCAAAUGGGAUUCAUAAGUGCAGCAGAGUGAAACUACCACAAACCGCCAUGUUUCUGUUUCAGUAAGAAUCAGAAGAACGUUUCUGUUCCUCUUUCCUGUUUAUUCACCUCCAUCUUCCAACACAGCCUGUGAGGAGGAAGCACCCUGACGUGUGGAGGACAGCUACACUUCACUGUGUUUCAUAUGUGUCCUGCCUCUCUGCUCCCAGCCGUUAAGAGGCCAUGUUGAUCAGUGGCUGUC
Cyclopterus lumpus (lumpfish) is the source of this 1135-nucleotide long non-coding RNA. RefSeq lists it as uncharacterized. The record is from RefSeq and is a predicted model, not a curated record. Lineage: Eukaryota; Metazoa; Chordata; Actinopteri; Perciformes; Cyclopteridae. The transcript has 3 exons.